AGUGAACGCUGGCGGUAUGCCUAACACAUGCAAGUCGAACGGCAGCACAGUGAGCUCUCGCUCUUACGGUUGGCGACUGGCGGACGGGUGACGCAUACAUCGGCAUCCACUUUUUCGUGGGGGAUAACGUAGGACAACAUCUGCUAAUACCUCAUACGACCUACGGGUGAAAGCAGGGGAUAUUGGGACCUUGGCCGAACGACUGAGCCGAUGUCGGAUUUGCUAGUUGGCUGGGUAAAGGCCCACCAAGGCGACGAUCCGUAGCUGGUCUGAGAGGAUGAUCAGCCACACUGGAACUGAGAAAGGGCCCAGACUCCUACGGGAGGCAGCAGUGGGGAAUAUUGGACAAUGGGGGCAAGCCGGACGCAGCAAUACCGCGGGGGUGAGGAAGGCCUUCGGGUUGUAAAGCCCGUUUGUUGGGAAAGAAAAGCAGCAGAGUAAAACGCCGAUGUUCUGACGGUACCUAAAGAAUAAGCAACGGCUAACUACGUG
RNAcentral lists this ribosomal RNA (492 nucleotides) under uncultured bacterium. RNAcentral's name for it is "partial 16S ribosomal RNA". It matches the Rfam family "Bacterial small subunit ribosomal RNA", at positions 29 to 507 of the family's 1533-position model. The record is from RNAcentral.